RNAcentral lists this long non-coding RNA (1242 nucleotides) under Dromaius novaehollandiae (emu). RNAcentral's name for it is "lncRNA (ENSDNVG00000002967.1)". Lineage: Eukaryota; Metazoa; Chordata; Aves; Casuariiformes; Dromaiidae. The record is from RNAcentral.
UGGACUAAAAUCAGGUGGACUAAGACACAAAUGGAAAUAACCAGUACUCUUGAUUACGCUCAUUUGAAUGGAAUUUGGGAUAACAUCUGCUGCCCCCUUUAAAGUGUGAGCGGACCUACAGCUUUGAGCUCACGGACCUCUCCUCUCCUGAUGUUCACCGAAAGAGUUGUUGCUCCUGGGUCAGCAGGUGCCGAAGASCCCCCUGCCCUGCGCGCUGCCCGCACACCCUGGGCCGGGGCGGGCUGAAUCCCACUCCUGGCCAGGCUUUUCGGCCAUCCACCCUUGGAGCCUGGAGAAACCAGAAUCCCAGAAGCAGAAGAAAGUCUGACCACGUUAUCUGUUCAACAUCUCUCUGUUUUCUUCAUGGCCAGACUUUCUGGGUGUCUCAGCUGGCAACUUUGUGCAGGCUUCUAGUUUCCUUCCUCACUGAAAAAAGUGUGCAAUUGGGACCUGUCUUUUACCAGCGUACAGAAAAGAAGCUGAUUGRAGCCAAAGUCGUCAGCAGACACCUCCUCUCCACCCUUAGAUGUACAGAUACCUCCUUCAGAAAUAAGAAGCAGAAGAAAAACAUCCAAGCAGAAGAAUUGGAAGGCAAAGGGAAAGAAACGGAUGGGGAUUGCAACUGAAAAAUUAAUGAAGAGAGACCUCGUUUCACAAAGCUUAUAUAAAGUCGGGCUGCAUCUGUGCAAGAAACAGUGACCYAGAAAGAGACAUCUGCAAAACUUUACAGCAAGGUGCAAAACUUGGUAGCCUCUUUCUCUCUGAGUCACACCUACACUAGCACACAAGGAUCCCUCGUUUACAGCCACUGGAAACUUACCUUUAAACUUUCUACCUCUUUCCUCCCUCUUCUACAAGGUACUGACUCGGGAAGUCCGGCUCUCCAGUGCACACCAAGAAGUCCAUUGCUGAGUGCAAGUUCAGAGAAACUGGUUUGUGUUCCUGGAACAGCUUAUGCCACAUUUAUCUUGAGAUAUCAGACUUCCUAAUGUAGCUAUUUUUUUUCCCGUCCAUUUAUCAUGUAUGCAUAUUAGUACUUAGCUUCUGGCCAAGAUGAAACCUUUUCUAAUACUACUCCCGUCCAUCUGGCUGCCCUGAUGAAAAUUCUUUUUCUGGAAUGCUUGGAUUUGUUCCCAGUAUAGGUAAGCUGGUAAAUUUGUGCUUGUGGGUGUAUAAGAGCAGCAGAAAUCUGCAGGAGUCGCUCUUAAAAAUAAAAAUAAAAAAGGCAACCUGGAUAGUGCA